AUCGGUGGAGCCGUCCUUGAAAUACCACCCUUGUAGUGUUGAUGUUCUAACUUAGACCCGUUAUCCGGGUUGAGGACAGUGCCUGGUGGGUAGUUUGACUGGGGCGGUCUCCUCCCAAAGAGUAACGGAGGAGCACGAAGGUGGGCUAAUCACGGUUGGACAUCGUGAGGUUAGUGCAAUGGCAUAAGCCCGCUUGACUGCGAGAAUGACAAUUCGAGCAGGUGCGAAAGCAGGUCAUAGUGAUCCGGUGGUUCUGUAUGGAAGGGCCAUCGCUCAACGGAUAAAAGGUACUCCGGGGAUAACAGGCUGAUACCGCCCAAGAGUUCAUAUCGACGGCGGUGUUUGGCACCUCGAUGUCGGCUCAUCACAUCCUGGGGCUGAAGUCGGUCCCAAGGGUAUGGCUGUUCGCCAUUUAAAGUGGUACGCGAGCUGGGUUUAGAACGUCGUGAGACAGUUCGGUCCCUAUCUGCCGUGGGCGUUGGAAGAUUGAAGGGGGCUGCUCCUAGUACGAGAGGACCGGAGUGGACGAACCUCUGGUGUUCGGGUUGUCAUGCCAAUGGCAUUGCCCGGUAGCUAAGUUCGGAAUCGAUAACCGCUGAAAGCAUCUAAGCGGGAAGCGAGCCCUGAGAUGAGUCUUCCCUGACCCCUUGAGGGUCCUAAAGGGUUGUUCGAGACUAGAACGUUGAUAGGCAGGGUGUGUAAGCGUUGUGAGGCGUUGAGCUAACCUGUACUAAUUGCCCGUGAGGCUUAACCAU
This 755-nucleotide ribosomal RNA is filed under the name Vibrio coralliilyticus ATCC BAA-450. RNAcentral describes it as "bacterial LSU rRNA". It matches the Rfam family "Bacterial large subunit ribosomal RNA", at positions 2176 to 2925 of the family's 2925-position model. The record is from RNAcentral. Lineage: Bacteria; Pseudomonadati; Pseudomonadota; Gammaproteobacteria; Vibrionales; Vibrionaceae.